Molecule: long non-coding RNA, 1323 nt
Organism: Leguminivora glycinivorella
Lineage: Eukaryota; Metazoa; Arthropoda; Insecta; Lepidoptera; Tortricidae
Exons: 3
Source: RefSeq, a predicted model, not a curated record
GGAAAACAUGGAGUGUCUAGAAGUGGUGUCCAAAUUUGUAGGAAAACUCGACGUUUCUGAAGAAAAAUAAGUUCUUUUGGAAAAUCUUGGGAUGCUGAAAGACUUGCUGAUUGAAAAGAUUUGCUUAGUCAAAACAAAAUUUAGAGAAAAUAUCGUCAAUGACUGAUAUCAGUUUUUCUACAUUGAAAAGAAUAAAUAUUGAGGGAAAAGCUAACCAUGGUAUCUUCUGUACUCCAGGGAACAAAGGAUCAGACAAGCCCACAAGAUAGAGCUAAUCUGGAGCUCAGCAAAGAGAAGAGUCACAAGCAAAAAUUUUGGCAUACCAGCAGCUGACCUUGAAAAACUUAUUCAGGAAGCUUUUGACAGCAUAACACCAGAGCUUUAGAAGAAAAUGACUCAUCAUGUGCUCAAUAUUGAAGCUCAGUGUAAAACCAGAAACAGAAUAAUGGAAGAACUUGAAUCGUUUAUUUUAAGUGUGUUUAAUGAUGAUGACUCUGACAGUAGUUCAGAAUCAAUGGACGCUGAGUUUCUAGAAUCCGAUUUUGAUUAUAGUUCCUAAUAAAGUACAAAACCUUCUUAAUUUUACAUAAUUUUAAAUUAAAGGAAAAAUGGAAAAAUUCACAUAUUAUUUGCAGAUAAAAAAUAACUUCUUAAUUUUACUUAAAUUUUUCCUUGCACAACAUAAUUAUUAGGCUCAUUCACUACAGAGAGUGCUCUGCUCUCGGUCAAUCGGUCAAAUGAACUAGUUGGUCUUUUAGUUCCUUUAGAUCGGUGGUUAUUGGGAGUCAGGGAUGAUUUAGGUCUGAUACAUUUCAUUCCAGACUCCUUUUACAUAUGAUAUUUUUCCAAUCUUUGGUAACUGAAUAUAAUUCCAAGUUUUAGUACCUAUAAUAUUAUCCAAGUUAUAUUUUAUAUAGAAAAUAUUUAAUUUUCCUGCAUAGAUUUAGACCUUAAACAUUCCUUUCAUCUCUUUCACACUUGUGCGAAUGGCAUUUUUUACUGUUUCGUUCCGCCUGUUAUCCAGUUCACUCGGUCAAGCGCUCUCCGAUCCCACUGAACUAUAGGACCUAAUAAGGACCGAUUAAGACCGUGCAAGAUUUAGUUCCUUUCGGUCAUUUAUGGGAUUUCAUUCCUAUCAGUACUUAGCUCAUGACCGACACAAGCCUACAACGUAUCAGCAUUGCGAUACAACGAGCAAAUGUCUCCAGCAUCCUUGGUACAAUGCCUAAAUGGCGUAGCUAUUGUAGACUAGGCUAGUUCUUAAUUUCAUUUCAUUAUGAUUUUAUUUAUUAUUGUAGAGAAAUAAAUGAUUAUGACAUUUUA